RNAcentral lists this ribosomal RNA (622 nucleotides) under uncultured Basidiomycota. RNAcentral describes it as "LSU rRNA". It matches the Rfam family "Eukaryotic large subunit ribosomal RNA", at positions 1 to 632 of the family's 3401-position model. The record is from RNAcentral. Lineage: Eukaryota; Fungi; Basidiomycota.
CCUCGAAUCAGGUGGGACUACCCGCUGAACUUAAGCAUAUCAAUAAGCGGAGGAAAAGAAACUAACAAGGAUUCCCCUAGUAACGGCGAGUGAAGCGGGAUGAGCUCAAAUUUAAAAUCUGAUAGUCUUUGGCUGUCCGAGUUGUAAUCUAGAGAAGUGUUUUCCGCGUUGGACCAUGUACAAGUUUCCUGGAACGGAACGUCAUAGAGGGUGAGAAUCCCGUCCUUGACAUGGACUACCAGUGCUUUGUGAUACACUCUCAACGAGUCGAGUUGUUUGGGAUUGCAGCUCAAAAUGGGAGGUAAAUUCCUUCUAAAGCUAAAUAUUGGCGAGAGACCGAUAGCGAACAAGUACCGUGAGGGAAAGAUGAAAAGCACUUUGGAAAGAGAGUUAAACAGUACGUGAAAUUGUUAAAAGGGAAACGAUUGAAGUCAGUCGCGUUUACUUGGACUCAGCCUUACCUCGGUUUGGUGCAUUUCCUUGUGAACGGGCCAGCGUCAAUGUUGUCCGUUGGAAAAGGGUUGGAGAAAUGUGGCUCUUUCGGGAGUGUUAUAGUCUCUGAUCGUAUACAACGGCUGAUAUUGAGUGGUACAGCAUGCUUCGGCGGUGCUUGUGCUGGCAU